UAGCUCCAGUGAUCAUACUUGCUUCCCACCACAAUAAACAAGCUCAAAUCUCCUGCUCCCAUCUCAUUUGUUUCAGGUGGUUGUGAUAUAAGCCGACUCUACUCUUGUGGUGAUCCAUGGUCAAGGCUGCAGUGGAGCUGACUUAUAACGAUGAAGCAAACAUGGACAGAGGUCAUUUGGUAUGGGAAGAAUUUCAGUCAUGUGGUAGAAGGGAAACCUGGAUGUAAGCAGCAAACUGUGGAUGUGCUAAGUAUAAGCACGAGCCAAUGCAUUGCUGUCUUCCGUGAAGGAAUUUUGUUUUUGAUCCUCCACUACUACCCCACAACAACCCUGAGGAUAUCUCCAACCUUGGAAAUGAAUGUCAUCUUUCCUUCCUCCUCCUCAUUCUUUUUUAAAGGGACAUUUUUGUUUCUUUGAUAUUCUUUUUAAUACUUGUGUAGGGCUCAUUGUAAUUCAUGUGACCACCUCUGCACCUCCAGGGAGGCUAAAAUGAGAUUAGAAGAUUAAAAUUGUAUUAGCACAGAUCCUGGGAACAAGUUGGACUCCUUGGAGGCUGUUAAAGCUAACAAAGUAGUCCCCCAGCUGUCCCAACUGGGGAAAUGUAUGUGAUCUGCCCCUUGCCUGGUUUAUAGACAGAAGAAGCUGGAGCACUGAUUGAUGAUGAUAUUUGUAAUGAAACUAAUACAUUGAAAGAGCAAGUUAUUCAGGUACAAUGAGCUAAAGUUAAGGAAAGAAUUAUAUGUUAAAGUAGUAAAUUUAGAUAUCAGAAAAAAUAUUCAGAAAAAUCUAGACUAAGUCUAGUAAGUAAUUGGUUUUACAAUUUUACCAGUUUAGAGUAGUUGCUUUUACAGCACAAAUUUCUUGAAUAUUAGUUUGACUCAAUGUCAUUUUUGCUGUGUAGACUUUACUUGGGGAGUUUGGACAGUGUCAUUUGCAUAGUUAAUAUGUGAUUAUGCUAGGAAAUGAUGGCUUGGGAAAUCUCUUAAGUGUGUUUCAAAUUACCAACUGUCCUUAAAACAUAUGGUACUAUGUAAUUUCACUAUAUUAGAACUUGAAAGAUACAGAUGUGAUAGUUUAUAAAAUUUGCUUGGGAAUAAUGAACACAAAUAAUUAUAAAAUACGGUUUCUUAAUUAUUAUGUUAGACUCCAAACUGAAGAUUGAUUUCACCUGGAGCAUAUAAUGGUCUUUACUAAUCAGAGGAGAUUAGCUGAGAACUGAUAUUAGAUACUCCAGUUUAUAAUCUACAAUGCUAUCUGAUAGAAAGUUCUGUAGUGAUGUAAAUGUUUUAUGUACACUGGCCAUGUGUGGCUAUUGAGCACUUGAUAUGUGGUUAAUGUGUUUAGGAACUGAAUUUUAAUUUUAAUUUUAAUUUUAAUUAAUUAAUUUAAAAUUUUUAAUUAAUUUAAAUUUAAAUAG
This 1417-nucleotide long non-coding RNA is filed under the name Vulpes vulpes (red fox). Its description in RNAcentral is "lncRNA (ENSVVUG00000004543.1)". The record is from RNAcentral. Lineage: Eukaryota; Metazoa; Chordata; Mammalia; Carnivora; Canidae.